RNAcentral lists this ribosomal RNA (253 nucleotides) under uncultured bacterium. RNAcentral describes it as "partial 16S ribosomal RNA". It matches the Rfam family "Bacterial small subunit ribosomal RNA", at positions 524 to 776 of the family's 1533-position model. The record is from RNAcentral.
UACAGAGGGGGCAAGCGUUAUUCGGAAUUAUUGGGCGUAAAGGGCUCGUAGGUGGCCAACUAAGUCAGACGUGAAAUCCCUCAGCUUAACUGGGGAACUGCGUCUGAUACUGGAUGGCUUGAGUUUGGGAGAGGGAUGCGGAAUUCCAGGUGUAGCGGUGAAAUGCGUAGAUAUCUGGAGGAACACCGGUGGCGAAGGCGGCAUCCUGGACCAACACUGACACUGAGGAGCGAAAGCGUGGGGAGCGAACAGG